UCCAGUUUCACACUGGCAGUCCCUCUAGAGUGCCCAACUUAAUGGUGGCAACGAGAGGCGUGGGUUGCGCUCGUUACGGGACUUAACCCAACAUCUCACGACACGAGCUGACGACAGCCAUGCAGCACCUGUCUCUUUGUCCCUUGCGGGAAAACCGGCUUUCACCGGCGGUCAAAGGAUGUCAAGACCAGGAUAAGGUUCUUCGCGUUGCGUCGAAUUGAACCACAUGCUCCACUGCUUGUGCGGGUCCCCGUCAAUUUCUUUGAGUUUUAAUCUUGCGACCGUACUCCCCAGGCGGGAUGCUUAACGCGUUAGCUUCGUCACUGAAAGGGUUUAUUCCUCCAACGACAAGCAUCCAUCGUUUACGGCGUGGACUAC
Molecule: unclassified non-coding RNA, 378 nt
Filed under: uncultured Pseudobdellovibrionaceae bacterium
Lineage: Bacteria; Pseudomonadati; Bdellovibrionota; Bdellovibrionia; Bdellovibrionales; Pseudobdellovibrionaceae
Description: uncultured Bdellovibrionaceae bacterium contains 16S-23S intergenic spacer region
Source: RNAcentral